GGAAGAACCCUCCAUGGUGUAGGAGAGCUUUAGCAAAUGUAGCAGUGUGAUGUUAUUACACUAGAUUGUAAAGUGAGAAGCUAUUCCGGUAGGAAAUUAUAUGAGCACCGACAGCUUUUAUUUUGAAAAGACGACCAAUCCAUUUCAAAACAGUGGGUAACUUCCUGUCCCAAAAUUAUUAUCUUUAUCCAAAUUUAAUAUGUUGUGAAUAAAACUGUGAAUUAUUACCUUUAAUGUUUAACAUAUUGAGUUCAUAGAUUGUUGUUUAAAGUAUCAGUUCGAAAAUUAAAAAAAGAAAAGUUAUCGGGUCAUACCAUUAUAAUCUGUGAAAGGUUUUCCCACGCUUUCCGUCGCGCUCUUUCUGUUCGGAUUCCGUGGGAGAAGGUAUGAAGUUUUGCUUUUUGUGUUUAAUAAGUGUAUUUUAAGGGUAAUAAGUGUUAGUUUUAUUACUGGUUUUGUAAAACAAUGGGUGUUGAAGCACUUAACCUGCAGUUAGCAGUUAUCUAGCUGCUCUUCUGAUACAUGAAACAUUGCUUCAUCCAUGUGCUGAAAAUAGUAUUGUUCAUGAUUAAACAGGCGCUGUGGAACACUGUGAAAAGAAAAGCCUGUUCUUGAGUACUAUUUUCUGCCAUUUGAAUGCAGGUAAAUGUGCUACUUUACACAAGUCACACGCUCUUUCUGUUCGGAUCCCGUGGGAGAAGGCGCUGUGGAACACUGUGAAAAGAAAAGCCUGUUCUUGAGUACUAUUUUCUGCCAUUUGAAUGCAGGAUCAUUAAAAGUGCUUUCCAAUCA
Molecule: long non-coding RNA, 792 nt
Organism: Xiphophorus couchianus (Monterrey platyfish)
Lineage: Eukaryota; Metazoa; Chordata; Actinopteri; Cyprinodontiformes; Poeciliidae
Exons: 2
Source: RefSeq, a predicted model, not a curated record